This 982-nucleotide ribosomal RNA is filed under the name Aigialus grandis. RNAcentral describes it as "SSU rRNA". It matches the Rfam family "Eukaryotic small subunit ribosomal RNA", at positions 95 to 1086 of the family's 1831-position model. Lineage: Eukaryota; Fungi; Ascomycota; Dothideomycetes; Pleosporales; Aigialaceae. The record is from RNAcentral.
GGCUCAUUAAAUCAGUUAUCGUUUAUUUGAUAGUACCUUACUACUUGGAUAACCGUGGUAAUUCUAGAGCUAAUACAUGCUAAAAACCCCGACUUCGGGAGGGGUGUAUUUAUUAGAUAAAAAACCAAUGCCCUCUGGGCUCUUUGGUGAUUCAUGAUAACUUCGCGGAUCGCAUGGCCUUGCGCCGGCGACGGUUCAUUCAAAUUUCUGCCCUAUCAACUUUCGAUGGUAAGGUAUUGGCUUACCAUGGUCUCAACGGGUAACGGGGGAUUAGGGUUCGACUCCGGAGAGGGAGCCUGAGAAACGGCUACCACAUCCAAGGAAGGCAGCAGGCGCGCAAAUUACCCAAUCCCGACACGGGGAGGUAGUGACAAUAAAUACUGAUACAGGGCUCUUUUGGGUCUUGUAAUCGGAAUGAGUACAAUUUAAAUCCCUUAACGAGGAACAAUUGGAGGGCAAGUCUGGUGCCAGCAGCCGCGGUAAUUCCAGCUCCAAUAGCGUAUAUUAAAGUUGUUGCAGUUAAAAAGCUCGUAGUUGAACCUUGGGCCUGGCUGGCUGGUCCGCCUCACCGCGUGCACUGGCAUGGCCGGGCCUUUCCUCCUGGAGAGCCCCAUGCCCUUCACUGGGCGUGUGGGGGAACCAGGACUUUUACUUUGAAAAAAUUAGAGUGUUCAAAGCAGGCCUUUGCUCGAAUACAUUAGCAUGGAAUAAUGAAAUAGGACGUGCGGUCCUAUUUUGUUGGUUUCUAGGACCGCCGUAAUGAUUAAUAGGGACAGUCGGGGGCAUCCGUAUUCAAUUGUCAGAGGUGAAAUUCUUGGAUUUAUUGAAGACGAACUACUGCGAAAGCAUUUGCCAAGGAUGUUUUCAUUAAUCAGUGAACGAAAGUUAGGGGAUCGAAGACGAUCAGAUACCGUCGUAGUCUUAACCGUAAACUAUGCCGACUAGGGAUCGGGCGAUGUUAUUAUCUUGACUCGCUCGGCAC